Molecule: long non-coding RNA, 474 nt
Filed under: Vigna radiata
Lineage: Eukaryota; Viridiplantae; Streptophyta; Magnoliopsida; Fabales; Fabaceae
Description: long non-coding RNA (VRAD_LNC011227)
Source: RNAcentral
CUAUACGUGAUACACAAGAUCAAACACUCAAAAGAAAACAACUAAAGUUUCCAAGUGUUGGAAAGAGCACCAAGGACUCUUCCUAACUUGGACUUUAUAAGAGGCCUUUUACAAACACAAAAGCUAAGACUAACAGUUGGGCUGCAAGCCCAUCAAAUACAAAUAAAAAAAAAAAACAAAAGCUAUGCUACGGUCUUGAUCUUGAUCCAACGUAGUGACAACCCACAGCUGCUACGGCCCUUGUUCAAAUGAAGAUCCACGUGCUUGACUGGUCUUUAUCUUGGAGUGGUGUAGUUGAUGCGCUUAUCUUCACGGGUCUCAAAUUGAAUCUGCUGCACAAUAAUUCACUCAAAAUCAGCAAAUCACAAUCUCCAACAAAUUACAAGCUAUAACAGAAACAACUUAAACCAACAGAAGCAAGAUAGUUAACAAACUUCCCUUUCUCUUGGUAGCACACUGAUGGGUGUCGCCGCC